This is a non-coding RNA of Phascolarctos cinereus (koala), 1508 nucleotides long. NCBI's taxonomy places the organism in Eukaryota, Metazoa, Chordata, Mammalia, Diprotodontia, Phascolarctidae. The record is from RefSeq and is a predicted model, not a curated record.
CUGGUGGGGAGCAGUUUUGAGUGUGUUUUUUUUUUCAGAUUGAAAAGCAAGGCAAAGGAAAAAAGAGUGUGGGGUGGUGGAAUAUGGAAAGGACUGAGGGGAGAGAAGAAAGAGAGGAGCCAAAAGGUGCUGACCGUGGCUUUAUUGCCACUACUACUUUAGUUCAGGUUUGAUGUUGGGACAAAACAAGGCCAGCGAUCUUAGGCUCUUCCUCUCCCCUUCAGAAGAACCAAGACGCAAGUCUCAAUAGGUUGGUCCACAUGGUGAAUGAUGCCAAAUUUUUGCAGCAAGUCUCCUAAUGCAAAAUGGUGAAGAUGAACUGAAACAGCAACCCCAGAGCCACAAGACAGAUGAUGAAACCUGCACAGAUUUCUUCUCCUGAUGUGAGGUACAAGCAAUGAGCAGAAGCAGCUCCAACUCCGUCAGAGCCACAGCAGGAACACAUGACACAAUCAAGAAUCCUUCAUCAUGCAUCAGAGUCGUCUAGUUACACUGGCUAAGAAGUCAGACGCCUAUUUCAUGAAGCCUAUCCCAAGUUCUAAUACCAAGGCUCUCCCUGUACCACCACUCACUCAUAUUACAUGAUCAACAUGUCAAAACCUCCCCCUCCCCAAGAGCCACAUGAAGGAAAUGAAACAAAAUCUUUUUUUUUUUUACCCAUUAGAGAUAUCAGUAGAGGGGAUUCUAUUUUCUUUAAAAGGAGCUAACUAAAGGACUUUGCCCCUCACUCACUUCUAGUGACUCAGAAUUACCACCAGGUCAGCUAAGAGUUCCCCUUUUUUUCUAAAAAGAAAUAAUUUUCAUAAGUAAGUAAGUGCAUACCUACCAUAGAUAGUGAUAAUUUUAUCUCCCACAUGCUAUUAGAAAGCAAGAAAUCUCCUAAUACUACCCCUUGGUCCCCCUAGCCUUUUCUGGAAAGGAGUUGCCCAAACCUCCCCGGGGGGAAAGGAAGCCUGGUGACUGAGGGGCAUAUGAGCUCCCUCUCCGGGGCAUAUAGAGCCCUCUGAGGGGAUAAGAACUCUGAAGCCAAGGCAACUCUGCACUGGAAAAGGAAUAAAGAAGGGCCAAAGAGGGCUAGCCAGAACUAUGUCCAAAACCAGUUCAUUCAUUCAGUUUUCCUGGAAAGUGGAUUCCAGAAACCACCAGAGCAAAGAGCCCUUCCCUUUCUUGGGUGGUGUUGAUUUGUCUAGACAUGAUCUCUGGAGACUGGAUCACUUGACCCGGGUAGUAAGAUGCAUGAUGAUGCAGCUUUUGAUUAAUACGGGGUGAACCUCUUUCCUCACAGUGUGAGAGUACUAUUUGGCCAUUUGGAGACUAGUUAAAGAUCAUUUGGAUUAGGUGGGUGCUCUGAUUGUGACAAGCAGCCCAGUUGGGAAGAAAUAGCUGCCUUGUUCUUAGGUAGGGGGAUCAUAUGGUCACAGCACAACAUGGAAUAACUAUCUCAAAAUCCAAAUUGACACUGUACUCAUUUCUCAACAUCUGCUGUUUUUAUAAAAGGUCCAACCUGA